RNAcentral lists this ribosomal RNA (425 nucleotides) under uncultured bacterium. RNAcentral's name for it is "bacterial SSU rRNA". It matches the Rfam family "Bacterial small subunit ribosomal RNA", at positions 356 to 772 of the family's 1533-position model. The record is from RNAcentral.
CGAGAAUAAUUCACAAUGGGGGAAACCCUGAUGGUGCAACGCCGCGUGGAGGAUGAAGGUCUUCGGAUUGUAAACUCCUGUCAUCUGGGAGUAAGACCUGGGCGUGAAUAGCGCACAGGGUUGAUAGUACCAGAAGAGGAAGGGACGGCUAACUUCGUGCCAGCAGCCGCGGUAAUACGGAGGGUGCAAGCGUUAUCCGGAUUCACUGGGCGUAAAGGGCGCGCAGGCGGUUACGUAAGUCCGGCGUGAAAUCCCACGGCUUAACUGUGGAACUGCGUCGGAUACUGCGUUGACUUGAGGAUGGUAGAGGCCAUUAGAACUAGCGGUGUAGCGGUGAAAUGCGCAGAUAUCGCUAGGAAUGCCGGUGGCGAAGGCGGAUGGCUGGGCCACUCCUGACGCUGAGGCGCGAAAGCUAGGGGAGCGAA